Molecule: transfer RNA, 84 nt
Filed under: Chryseobacterium defluvii
Lineage: Bacteria; Pseudomonadati; Bacteroidota; Flavobacteriia; Flavobacteriales; Weeksellaceae
Description: tRNA-Tyr
Rfam family: tRNA
About the family: Transfer RNA (tRNA) molecules are approximately 80 nucleotides in length. Their secondary structure includes four short double-helical elements and three loops (D, anti-codon, and T loops). Further hydrogen bonds mediate the characteristic L-shaped molecular structure. tRNAs have two regions of fundamental functional importance: the anti-codon, which is responsible for specific mRNA codon recognition, and the 3' end, to which the tRNAs corresponding amino acid is attached (by aminoacyl-tRNA synthetases). tRNAs cope with the degeneracy of the genetic code in two manners: having more than one tRNA (with a specific anti-codon) for a particular amino acid; and 'wobble' base-pairing, i.e. permitting non-standard base-pairing at the 3rd anti-codon position.
Source: RNAcentral
GGAAGUGCGCCGGAGCUGGAGAGCCGGGGCAGACUGUAAAUCUGCUGCUUUAUUGCUGAGUAGGUUCGAAUCCUACCACUUCCA